GACGAACGCUGGCGGCGUGCUUAACACAUGCAAGUCGAACGGUGAAGCAGAGCUUGCUCUGUGGAUCAGUGGCGAACGGGUGAGUAACACGUGAGUAACCUGCCCUUGACUCUGGGAUAAGCGUUGGAAACGACGUCUAAUACCGGAUACGAGCUGAGACCGCAUGGUCAUCAGUUGGAAAGAUUUUUUGGUCAAGGAUGGACUCGCGGCCUAUCAGCUUGUUGGUGAGGUAAUGGCUCACCAAGGCGACGACGGGUAGCCGGCCUGAGAGGGUGACCGGCCACACUGGGACUGAGACACGGCCCAGACUCCUACGGGAGGCAGCAGUGGGGAAUAUUGCACAAUGGGCGCAAGCCUGAUGCAGCAACGCCGCGUGAGGGAUGACGGCCUUCGGGUUGUAAACCUCUUUUAGUAGGGAAGAAGCGAAAGUGACGAUACCUGCAGAAAAAGCACCGGCUAACUACGUG
This 467-nucleotide ribosomal RNA is filed under the name uncultured bacterium. RNAcentral describes it as "partial 16S ribosomal RNA". It matches the Rfam family "Bacterial small subunit ribosomal RNA", at positions 28 to 507 of the family's 1533-position model. The record is from RNAcentral.